This 301-nucleotide ribosomal RNA is filed under the name uncultured bacterium. RNAcentral describes it as "partial 16S ribosomal RNA". It matches the Rfam family "Bacterial small subunit ribosomal RNA", at positions 509 to 809 of the family's 1533-position model. The record is from RNAcentral.
CAGCAGCCACGGUAAUACGGAGGGUGCAAGCGUUAAUCGGAAUUACUGGGCGUAAAGCGCACGCAGGCGGUCUGACAAGUCAGAUGUGAAAUCCCCGGGCUUAACCUGGGAACUGCAUUUGAAACUGUCAGGCUGGAGUCUUGUAGAGGGGGGUGGAAUUCCAGGUGUAGCGGUGAAAUGCGUAGAGAUCUGGAGGAAUACCGGUGGCGAAGGCGGCCCCCUGGACAAAGACUGACGCUCAGGUGCGAAAGCGUGGGGAGCAAACAGGAUUAGAUACCCGAGUAGUCCCUGUCUUUUAUAA